GCCCCCACACAAGACCUCCGUGUUCUUUUAGGCUGCAAUAGUAAUUCUGAACGUUCUAGGUCCAGUCCCCCUGGUUUACAGAAUCAACAGGUGCAGCUGCCAUUUCCUGAGAACCUCUUUUACACAGAGACAUCUUACAUCCAUUGCUACCUUUAGUGCCACCUACAGACUAGCAAGCAGUGUCCGUGGAGGAAAAUACCUCUCAAAUGGCCGCGCCAGAUGAAUCCACCUCCCACCUGGCCUACCCUGGCACUUAGCAGGAAACUGAACCCACACCUGUUCCAUGCCUACAGGGUGACCUCUGCGACAACUGAAACACUGCAGCAAAGAGGAGGUUUUGACUUUUGAUUUGGAGGGGAACAGAGCCUGACACCAAUGACUUGUGCCGGUUUCCGGUAUGUCACUACCAGCAUGUCUAGGGGCAGUGGGUUUAGAAAUCUGUGAAGGAAUUCUGGAUCACAGAGUCAGGAUCUUGGGGAAACUUUUACCUCAUUUAUGUAAGGUUUUCUUAGGAUUACUUUCCUGGGGGAACCCUUUCAAACCCUGGGGGCUUAGAGCACCCCGGGAGCCAGCAAAGUCUGAAGGUGAAACUGUCACAUGGGGGAGUUUGAUUGGCCACAGACUGAUAUUUUAGGAGGAAGUGGGCUCAGAAAAUCCUGCAACCCUGGCCUGACAGAAUGUUUGUUAAAGAAAAUGAGAGCAGGCGCUGAUUAUCACUCUGAAUGGCAAGAGGCGCCGCAUGUUUUGUCUGGAGAAAAAAAACCAAUGAUGGUUUCCUAGGUAACAUGCAGAGUGGUUCAGCCUGACUGGAAUCCCACGUGCUUCUGCAAGAAGGCAGUGAUAGGUUCUCCUCUGAACAGGUCACCUUCUGGCCGGACGGGUUAUCCAUGGCACGAGGGAACAAGAGAGCAACGCUGCAGUUGGCAUUCCCUGUUUCCCAAGCCUGGCAUGCCGGUGUGCGGCUGGACCCAUCCAGCAGGAUGUGCUCCUCCGUCUAGCUCACGAAAACCAGCCCCUGCACAGUCAAUUUGGAAAGAAGUGGACAGUGACAUCAUCUACAGCAGAAAUGAAAAUGGAGAAACUGCAGUCUAGAAAGGUAUCUUGUGGUAAAGGACGCUAAGGAGGCUGACGCUUACAUACAACUGUCACAUAACCAGGGGUGGGAAAGGUGGGUGGUCACAAGCAACAGAGUUGUUCUUAGGCAUGCCGAACAGCAGAGGAUGGACCUCUGAAUUUCUAUUCCUGACCAUGCCAGCCCUCUUGGCCCUCUGCCUGCUCCAGUGCCUCCAUGCAACAGAGGCAUGGAUUGCUUUGCAAUCCUACUCUCUGGGUAAGAGCCACUUUCAUUUGUCUGCAUGACGGGCUCCACUCCCGCUCGCCUGUACCUUUCUGCUUCCAGAAGCAUCCUCAGAGAUGGACGUCCUCAACUCCAACAAGCACCUUAGUCCUAAAACCUAGGAAAUGGCCCUUAUCUCAGCUACUCAGGGGGCUGAAGCAGAUGAUUGUUGCUUUGAGUUUGAAGCCAGGCUGGACUGUGGGGUGGCUAAGCCUUAACGGGCCCGAGAGCAGCUGGCUAAGACUGAUACUAAGACCAUGCACAGUAGAGCAAGCCUGGGUCUGCCAGAGGCCUUGAUAACUGUAGCCAAGUUUGACGUGUCAUGGACCUAUGAACAGCAACCACAUCACCUCAGCAGAUGCCAGCUCAGUGGACCCCCCACCCCAGUAGGGUCAGGGGUAUAUAAGGCUUACCCCUUCCUAAAAACAAACUGAGCUUGUCAUUUCAACCUGUUGUUCCCUGUGCCUGUGUCCUUGGUUCCACGCCUACUUUUCCCUCUCCCCCAAGGGACACCUGCUGGACCCUACUACACUGGAAACCAACAAAUAAACAAAUAAAACUCCAGAAGUGAAUACUGAAUGCUUUCCCCAUUGUCUACGGCCCUUCGCUAUCACGUUUAGUCCUCAUCUUAGCUGGGAAAUAAAAUACACUUAAAAACAUUAAUGUAAACUGAUGUGAUGGUGGCUGAGAAGUUUGUGAGUUCGAAGGCCGCCUAAGCCACAGCAUGAGCCGCAUCCCCACCUCCUCUCCCCAAAAAAGAUGGGGCUGGAGAGGCCACAGAGG
This is a non-coding RNA of Myodes glareolus (Bank vole), 2119 nucleotides long. Lineage: Eukaryota; Metazoa; Chordata; Mammalia; Rodentia; Cricetidae. The record is from RefSeq and is a predicted model, not a curated record.